CGGUUUUGGUUUCGGAAUAUUUCAUAAUGUUAAACGGCGUGCCGUUGUGCGUGACAAAAGUACAUGGUCCAGUUGAAAACUCUAAGGGGAAUAGCUCUUUUGCUCCUCCCCUCGCUAUACGCUACACUUGCGAUUUGCAUUUCGCGUAUGCCGGGACUUUUAGAAAACGCACGCGCCUUUUCCCAAAACCCGUCGGUCUUGGAUUUAUUCGAUUUAUUCCGUUGCCCAUCGUCAAGACGUCAUCUACGAGACUCAGUCGGGUUUUUUCUCGGUGUUUUUAUUUUUCAAACGGGUUAUGAACGCACUAAUAUCAUUGUGAACCAUCGCAGUACGCUAACGAUAUUGUCGCGUUUAAGUUUCGAUAAUAACAAAUCAAUUCGCCGCGCCAUAACGCAAUCGAGCCGACAGUGCGGAAUGUCGCACGUUUUUUAAACGGUGGGGGGGAAGGCACACCGUACGCGGGUACACUGGCGAAACGGACCUAAAAUAAUCCAGAACCGACCUACAGUCUACCCCGAUUCCCCGUCGUUCGUCCAAUAUUUCGCAUUGUUUUCACGAGUCGUGCGCCCCUGCAACGCCGUCAUCGUCUAUAAAUCUAAAAUGCAAGCGGCCGUUUCUCAAAGGCCGCGUUCGUUUCGCCGCCGCGAUAGAAAUCCUUCGCCCAACACACGUACACACGGUGUGAAACGAAAAUAGUACACAAACCAACGAUCGGAGCGUACUCGUUAUUGUAUUACGGAAAAGAAAAAUCGCGUUGGCCUCGCGUUUUACUAUU
Molecule: non-coding RNA, 775 nt
Organism: Cinara cedri
Lineage: Eukaryota; Metazoa; Arthropoda; Insecta; Hemiptera; Aphididae
Source: the annotation of a GenBank genome assembly